UGCGCAGGCGGAACUUUAAGUCAGUGGUGAAAUCUUGCCGCUUAACGGUAAAAUUGCCAUUGAUACUGAAGUUCUUGAAUAUGGUUGAGGUAGGCGGAAUGUGUUGUGUAGCGGUGAAAUGCAUAGAUAUGACACAGAACUCCGAUUGCGAAGGCAGCUUACUAAACCAUUAUUGACGCUGAGGCACGAAAGCGUGGGGAGCGAACAGGAUUAGAUACCCUGGUAGUC
RNAcentral lists this ribosomal RNA (228 nucleotides) under uncultured bacterium. RNAcentral describes it as "partial 16S ribosomal RNA". It matches the Rfam family "Bacterial small subunit ribosomal RNA", at positions 568 to 795 of the family's 1533-position model. The record is from RNAcentral.